CGCAUUGGUUCGAUCCGGAGAGGGAGCUGAGAAAUGCUACACAUCCAGAAGCAGCAGCGCGUAAAUGCCCGAUCUGACACAGGGAGGUAGUGACAGAAAUAACAAUACAGGGCUCUUUCGAGUCUGUAAUUGGAAUGAGUACAAUUUACUUCUCUUCACGAGGAUCAAUUGGAGGGCAAGUCUGGUGCCAGCAGCCGCGGUAAUUCCAGCUCCAAUAGCGUAUAUUAAAGUUGUUGCAGUUAAAACGCUCGUAGUCGGAUUUCGGGGCAGGUUUGCCGGUCUGCCGAUGGGUAUGCACUGGUAGAACUGUCCUUCCUUCCGGAGACGGCGCCUACUCUUAACUGAGCGGGUGUCGGAGACGGAUCGUUUACUUUGAAAAAAUCAGAGCGUUUCAAGCAGGCAGCUCGCUUUUGCAUGGAUUAGCAUGGGAUAAUGAAAUAGGACUUUGGUGCUAUUUUGUUGGUUUCGAACACCGAAGUAAUGAUUAACAGGGACAGUCAGGGGCACUCGUAUUCCGCCGAGAGAGGUGAAAUUCUUAGACCAGCGGAAGACGAACCACUGCGAAAGCAUUUGCCAGGGAUGUUUUCACUGAUCAAGAACGAAAGUUAGGGGAUCGAAGACGAUCAGAUACCGUCGUAGUCUUAACCAUAAACCAUGCCGACUAGGGAUUGGAGGAUGUUCCUAUGUGACUCCUUCAGCACCUUUCGGGAAACUAAAGUCUUUGGGUUCCGGGGGGAGUAUGGUCGCAAGGCUGAAACUUAAAGGAAUUGACGGAAGGGCACCACCAGGAGUGGAGCCUGCGGCUUAAUUUGACUCAACACGCA
Molecule: ribosomal RNA, 824 nt
Filed under: uncultured eukaryote
Lineage: Eukaryota
Description: SSU rRNA
Rfam family: Eukaryotic small subunit ribosomal RNA
Source: RNAcentral